This 214-nucleotide small nucleolar RNA is filed under the name Solanum tuberosum (potato). RNAcentral's name for it is "snoRNA Plant_U3". It matches the Rfam family "Plant small nucleolar RNA U3". Rfam says of the family: Small nucleolar RNAs (snoRNAs) are involved in the processing and modification of rRNA in the nucleolus. There are two main classes of snoRNAs: the box C/D class, and the box H/ACA class. U3 snoRNA is a member of the box C/D class. The record is from Rfam by way of RNAcentral. Lineage: Eukaryota; Viridiplantae; Streptophyta; Magnoliopsida; Solanales; Solanaceae.
ACGACCUUACUUGAACAGGAUCUGUUCUAUAGGCUCGUACCACUGUAUCCUUGAUUUCUAAGGAGACAGGAAACCAAGUCUGGUUGAUGAGACGUGGCCAUUAGACUAGAGCGUGAUUAACAAUCUCUGUGGCUCAAUGGGUCAUGGAGCCGUAGAGGAUCGUUCUCAGCUCCAACUAUGGUGCUGGGAUGGUCUAAUGGCUGUCUGACAGACU